Phyllostomus discolor (pale spear-nosed bat) is the source of this 102-nucleotide small nuclear RNA. The record is from RefSeq and is a predicted model, not a curated record. NCBI's taxonomy places the organism in Eukaryota, Metazoa, Chordata, Mammalia, Chiroptera, Phyllostomidae.
CCUGUGCUUGCUAAGGAAGCACGAACAUUGGAACAAUCCAGAGAAGAUCAGCAUGGCCGUGCGCAAGGAUGACACGCAAAUUCGUGGAGCUUCCAUAUUUUU